GAGCAACCUGCCCUGGACUCUGGGAUAAGCGCUGGAAACGGUGUCUAAUACUGGAUAUGAGAUGUGAUCGCAUGGUCAUGUUUGGAAAGAUCUUUCGGUCUGGGAUGGGCUCGCGGCCUAUCAGCUUGUUGGUGAGGUAAUGGCUCACCAAGGCGUCGACGGGUAGCCGGCCUGAGAGGGUGACCGGCCACACUGGGACUGAGACACGGCCCAGACUCCUACGGGAGGCAGCAGUGGGGAAUAUUGCACAAUGGGCGGAAGCCUGAUGCAGCAACGCCGCGUGAGGGAUGACGGCCUUCGGGUUGUAAACCUCUUUUAGCAGGGAAGAAGCGAAAGUGACGGUACCUGCAGAAAAAGCGCCGGCUAACUACGUGCCAGCAGCCGCGGUAAUACGUAGGGCGCAAGCGUUAUCCGGAAUUAUUGGGCGUAAAGAGCUCGUAGGCGGUUUGUCGCGUCUGCUGUGAAAUCCCGAGGCUCAACCUCGGGUCUGCAGUGGGUACGGGCAGACUAGAGUGCGGUAGGGGAGAUUGGAAUUCCUGGU
RNAcentral lists this ribosomal RNA (541 nucleotides) under uncultured bacterium. RNAcentral describes it as "bacterial SSU rRNA". It matches the Rfam family "Bacterial small subunit ribosomal RNA", at positions 119 to 674 of the family's 1533-position model. The record is from RNAcentral.